GAUGAACGCUGGCGGCGUGCCUAAUACAUGCAAGUCGAGCGAACAGACGAGGAGCUUGCUCCUCUUACGUUAGCGGCGGACGGGUGAGGAACACGUGGAUAACCUACCUAUAAGACUGAGAUAACUUCGGGAAACCGGAUCUAAUACCGGAUAAUAUAUUGAACCGCAUGGUUCAAUAGUGAAAGACGGAUUUGCUGUCACUUAUAGAUGGAUCCGCGCCGGAUUAGCUAGUUGGUAAGGUAACGGCUUACCAAGGCGACGAUGCGUAGCCGACCUGAGAGGGUGAUCGGCCACACUGGAACUGAGACACGGUCCAGACUCCUACGGGAGGCAGCAGUAGGGAAUCUUCCGCAAUGGGCGAAAGCCUGACGGAGCAACGCCGCGUGAGUGAUGAAGGUCUUCGGAUCGUAAAACUCUGUUAUUAGGGAAGAACAAAUGUGUAAGUAACUAUGCACGUCUUGACGGUACCUAAUCAGAAAGCCACGGCUAACUACGUG
Molecule: ribosomal RNA, 497 nt
Filed under: uncultured bacterium
Lineage: Bacteria
Description: partial 16S ribosomal RNA
Rfam family: Bacterial small subunit ribosomal RNA
Source: RNAcentral